Acanthosepion pharaonis is the source of this 103-nucleotide non-coding RNA. Lineage: Eukaryota; Metazoa; Mollusca; Cephalopoda; Sepiida; Sepiidae. The record is from the annotation of a GenBank genome assembly.
UGGCAACAUCACGUUGAAACAUCGCUUCCCGGACGAUCACCGAAGGUAAGCAACGAUGAGCCUGGUCAGUACCUUGAUGGUUGACCGCUUGGGAAUACCAAAU